Molecule: long non-coding RNA, 1283 nt
Filed under: Cyanistes caeruleus (blue tit)
Lineage: Eukaryota; Metazoa; Chordata; Aves; Passeriformes; Paridae
Description: lncRNA (ENSCCEG00000023019.1)
Source: RNAcentral
CAGCAAUGGGAAAGUGACCUUGCACCUGAUUCACUCUUGAAACAGUUUUUAAUUUUGACUGCCUUUUCUUUUCCUGUGAUGUUCUUUUAUCUUUGACCAGUACUUCACUUUAUAUAAAAUACAUGAUUGCAGAAGAUUGCUCACUGGAAAGGAGAUGUUUGGAAAAAUGGACCACCCUUCCUUGUUCCGUAGGAAGCUUGUAUCUGUGCUAAAAAAGAAACAGCACUCCACCCUAUCUGGUGAGUUACAGUAUUUCCGCUAGCACAUACAAGUUACAUGCUUGGUUUGAGAUGGCUGGAGAGAUGAACUUAAGAGGUAUUUCAGUGUUUAACUUUGCUCACCUGGCCCUGGUCUGCUGAGGCAUCUCGGGCUGGCAGGAGGGAUCAGAGGCACAGCUUGUAGUCCAGGUCAGUGUUCUUGCAGCCACUUGCUUUCAUUAUUUAUCUUUUGAGGAGAGUCAUCACUUAAACAGGAGAUCUUGACCUGGCUAAGCUUAUUUCACUUACAGCCUGAAUACCACUCUAGUGCCUGUCAUCAAGACUAGUUGUACCAGAGCUCUGCACUCUUCAUCUCGGUGUUUAUCGAGCUCUGGGGGAGUAUGGGUGUGGCUCUGGAAAUGGGCAGUAAGCAAGCACUGACUGGAACUUGGGAAUUGCUGAAGUCCUGCACAGCUUCCUGUGCUGACAGGAGAGCAGGAGCAGAUGCUGGAGGUGGAAGAGCUUCAUGGGAGAAAUGAAUCCACCAGGAAAGCAGUUGUGGAAAACUCAUCAUGUAAUUAUGCUGAAUGGGCUGUGUCUAUGCUUUAUGAAUCACUUGAAUGUUUUUGCAAUGAAUCAAGAGGAAAAGAUGACAAAUCCACUGCAGCUAUUGUAUCCAAUGGAGCAGAUGAGCAAAUCUCACAAACUAGGGCAUCUGAAAAGUCUAGAAUGAGACAAGGAUCUGCCAUCUACUUUGACAUUCAGAACUAAACAAAAUAUGUCUAAAUAACUAUGAAACUGGAAAAUAUGGUAAUUUGCUGCUGAAAGAUGGAUUACGUGUUUCCUGUCAAAAGCUUGUCAGUGGGACAAUACACAAGAAAAACAGUUGGUUCUAAGCACUUUUUGAAUGUUUUGUCACUAACAAAAUAUUAUUCUAAGGAGUCUCUGAAUUUGGAGGAUAUGUCAUUUAGAAGGCUGUUUUCAGUUCUUCUCUGGUGUCCAAAAAUACUAUGUUACCAUGCCUUGAAAAAAAAAAUUCUAGACUGAACAACAUUCUCCAAUAAAAGCAUUCCUUCAGGAAACCCA